This 252-nucleotide ribosomal RNA is filed under the name uncultured bacterium. Its description in RNAcentral is "partial 16S ribosomal RNA". It matches the Rfam family "Bacterial small subunit ribosomal RNA", at positions 524 to 776 of the family's 1533-position model. The record is from RNAcentral.
UACGUAGGUCCCGAGCGUUGUCCGGAUUUAUUGGGCGUAAAGCGAGCGCAGGUGGUUUAUUAAGUCUGGUGUAAAAGGCAGUGGCUCAACCAUUGUAUGCAUUGGAAGCUGGUAGACUUGAGUGCAGGAGAGGAGAGUGGAAUUCCAUGUGUAGCGGUGAAAUGCGUAGAUAUAUGGAGGAACACCGGUGGCGAAAGCGGCUCUCUGGUCUGUAACUGACGCUGAGGUUCGAAAGCGUGGGUAGCAAACAGG